This 325-nucleotide long non-coding RNA is filed under the name Drosophila guanche. Lineage: Eukaryota; Metazoa; Arthropoda; Insecta; Diptera; Drosophilidae. The record is from RNAcentral.
AGCCCCUUUUGGCGGGAAAGAAACAAGAAGUGUCGUUUGUUGUAUUUAUUAGCAAACAAAUAUAAGAGUAUUGAAUUUGCAUAUGCCUGAGAAGAACUUCUGCAGCCUUUUUGGAUUAUUGGAAACGGAAUAAAACUUAACAAAUUUUUCCGCAGCUCAGCCGGGACUGUGUAUUCGCAACCUGAGGCUACUGACGUUCGAAGAAAUUCCAAAAUAUAAACAAAUUCAUGGGCUGAUCUGCCCGAUCUAAUCAUAGCGAAUAAAGGAUAUUUUCUUAAACUAAAGUCAUUAAGAAAUUGUACAUUUCCAAUUUAUCGAAACUGCC